UACGUAGGGGGCAAGCGUUAUCCGGAUUUACUGGGUGUAAAGGGGGCGCAGACGGCAAUGCAAGCCAGGAGUGAAAGCCCGGGGCCCAACCCCGGGACUGCUCUUGGAACUGCAUGGCUGGAGUACAGGAGGGGCAGGCGGAAUUCCUAGUGUAGCGGUGAAAUGCGUAGAUAUUAGGAGGAACACCGGUGGCGAAGGCGGCUUACUGGACGAUGACUGACGCUGAGGCUCGAAAGCGUGGGGAGCAAACAGG
This 253-nucleotide ribosomal RNA is filed under the name uncultured bacterium. RNAcentral describes it as "partial 16S ribosomal RNA". It matches the Rfam family "Bacterial small subunit ribosomal RNA", at positions 524 to 776 of the family's 1533-position model. The record is from RNAcentral.